Molecule: long non-coding RNA, 4087 nt
Filed under: Homo sapiens (human)
Lineage: Eukaryota; Metazoa; Chordata; Mammalia; Primates; Hominidae
Description: HSALNT0338614
Source: RNAcentral
CCCUGGAGUUUGAAUUCUCAGAAGUAAGGUGUCAGAUUCCAACCCUUUCAUAUCCCCCAGGGCCACAAUUUUAGAGACAAAAUAUGCUUAGCUUCUGGGGUAGAUGUGAGAUUUAGCCACGGUUCAGUGCGUUUGAACACGCAUGCCUAUACGUCGCUGUGGCCUGGCUUCCUCUGAAGAGGAUCUCACCUUAGCUCCCAGAGGUGAGUUAACUGGACGUAAAACAGACAGGUGCAAGAAGACAGUCAUUCAUGGCGGCAUGAAAAUACAUUUUGUCUAACGUCACCUUUAAGUCAUGACAGAAUAUGAGAGGAAAUCAGAGGGACCAUGCUGUCGUCCUGGGUGCAAAAUAAAAGUCGAGUUUCGUGGGUCCUGGCCAUUUCUAGGACCAGUUAUAUUUUUGAUGAAGCCACAUUGGAUGUUAAGUAAAGUACGCUCUUUGCCUGUUUCUGGGUAAUGGAUCUGGAGGGAUUGGAAUACAUUUUUUGUAUUUUUUCAAAAUAUUACAAUGGGCAUGAUAAUUUUUAGCAAGAAUCAGUGAAGUAAUUAAAAUAAAAACAUUUUAUGCUUUAUGCUUUUCUAGAAAUUGCCAUUUUGUUUGUCAACCCUGUGAUUUAAUAACUCAAUGCUUGAAUGCUGCUGCGUGAUAAUGAGGGAAAAAUGGGAAUAGGAGACAUGUUUGCCGUUGGGUGUGGAGUGCAAAAACACAAUUGUGAUUUGGCCAAAGAACAGCUCACUAGCAAAUAUCUACCUCCAGGGAAAACCGAGUUCACUUGCUCUAGCAAAGCUGGCUUCAUGGACUGAUGGGAAGAUUAAGUGGUUAAUUUCCAUAAAGUCUGGAAGAGUGCCUGGCGUAGCUUAGGCACAUCAAUCAAUGUAAGUUAUGCUUGUGGUUAUUAAAAUAUUGACAUAAAAAUGAGAGUAUGCAUUCAAUGUCCUCUUUAUUUUUAAUCUUUCGGUGUCUAAAAUAAUGACAUAUUGCCAGUAAUAAAUUCAGCAUGAACACUUACUACAGCCACUAUUUAAAUUCAUGAUAUCAGUUACAUAAAUAUUUUUGCGUUUUCACUUAGUACGGUCUUUUCAUUUACUAAAUACCUCUCUGGAAUUAUAUUUAUGAUUUGAUAUUUCUGUUAUGAGGAAGAAGUUGUGGAGGUCAGUGUAGGGCAGUUAAGAGAAGGACUCUGAGACAGAACACUGAUGAUAAGCCUGGGCCACCCAGGCAAGGAUUUUCCAUUACUUUUGGACCAGUCCACUGGCAAUAGCAUUGCUUUGGCAACUCUGAGGUGACAUCACUUUGUCUCUUGUUCUCUGGGUUUUCCUCUUGACAUUUAUUAGGGCAGUGGACUUCUGCUCGACAUCAUCUUGAAAGUCUAGGCUUGUUAUAUUGUGUCAUAAAUAAAUAUAACUGCUAUUUCCAGAAAACAGAGACACAGUCAGUUCAAAAUUAGAAAUUGAAUGGAAGCUCCAUGGAGAACCAGUGAGAUGUCGCCAUGAUGUAAAAUUUGGAAGGACAGAUCCAGCCACAGGGAGACAAAAUCUGUCAUCUUGCAAGGCCCCUGUCACCAGCACAUGCCGCAAGGUCAUGGCCCCUGCCCUCCCGCAGAGGCUGAGAUGGAGAUGCAGAGCCCCCCGUCUGCUCAGAAGAAGGACGCAGAACAUGACUUGCUUUGAUGAUUUCCAAUAAACUUCCUCGCUGACUUUCCUCUCAUCUCUUCCCCUCCCUCCUUCAUUGUGUCCUUUCUCAGUUGAAAGCAGGAAAGGCAGGCAGGGAGGGGUCUUCAUGUGGGGCCCUGGGAGGUGGCCAGUCAGGGGUCAGGGAGGCAUUUGCUUUUGAGUUGGAGACUGAUGCUCACUGGAAAACUUGCCUUUGACUCUCGUCAGAACUCUUCACAGGGCUCCAGUGGGUGCGGGUGAAGGGGCCUCCUGGGGGAAAGUAAGGGAGCACAGAGCAAAUUACCCAAACACCACACCUGCAGAUGCACUCUAUCCCUCAGCCAGCCUCAUUCCUGCCCAAGGUAACAGAGCCAGCAGGUCCUCAUCACGGUGCCAUGGGGACGUCCGCUCUCCUGCCCACCCCCACGCAGGUGCUGUGUGUCCCAAGUCCACCCUCUUCACCCUGGGAUGAAAGAAAGGCAUGCAGGAAAUUCAAGGGGCCAGCUGGCUCUGAGGCAUCAUUGCUGGACACUGUUUUUAUAACAACCACUGAGCGAGAUGGUUGAACGCCGCAUGCACAGAACUCCACCGGCUGAAUGGUCUGUGGGCUGGGAUUUGCAUUCAAGUUCCAUUUCCUCACAGGAACGGGUGAACUGAGUUUCAUAAUCCAAGGCGACCUUCUCAAGGAAGCUAUUGCCUUUGGUGAGUAUCACCCUGAAAACAGUGCUGGGUGUUUGUCUCUCCUCUCUCGCUGCUUGGCUGGGCAAGUGCCCUUUGCCUAGAGGGAGGGAUCUGAGCCACACGGGGCUGUGAGGGACCCCAUCUCCAAAGGGCUCCAUUUACUGGGUUUUUAUACUUCUCAGAAUAUUGAUCAAACCAUAGAUUUUCUGUAGUCUCACAGCAAAGCCUGCAAUCCCACCGGCAACCGCGUGACAACCUCAAGCCAGUCACCUUUCCAGGCCCAACAACUGUCCUGUGAAUACAGGGUGCUCACGGGAACGGCUCCAUCAGCCCCGCACGCCAGUCAGUGCCAUCUCCAAAUGGUCAUUUGGUCUCAAGUUUAGCUUCUGUCUUAAUGUCUAUGGUUUUGGCUGAAGUCAUAUGGUGUUAUUGAAGCCGAGAACAAAAUCAGCAGAUUUCAUCUGACAUUAUUGCAUAUGGGUUCAUGAGGUUUUGUGGUUUCUUCAUCAAACAUGUAGUUAAAUGUUAUGAAACGGAACCAUAACAACCUUGUCCAGGAAAAAUCUAUGUGUCUAUUGAGGCACCAAAUGUGCUUUCAAGCUGAAUGGUUGGCAGGGCUGGAGAAGAUUAGCCUAGAGUUUAGUAAACCUGCCCAGGUGAACCACUGAAUCUUGCAAUUAAGUUGCUUCUAAUGACUUCACAUUUGGGAACAAAAAUAAACUUUAAAAAGAGAACUAGUACAAAAAAAACAGUGUCCUUCUGACUAUUCUAACGCCCCAGAGGUCAGAUGUUGAAUUGCAGCUUUGACCAAUUUCCAUGGGAGAAUUGCACAUUUAAAAAAAUAAACUUUUCUUCAAAGCUAGUGAGGCAGAGGGAGACACCUUCAUCUCCCUCCCGCCCUUCUUAGCUCCUCCAGGGCUGGCCAUCCUGUCUGCAACGCGGAUUCUUCUGCAUUUACACAUGUGAUAUUUACAGUGAAUGAAAGCUUUAUACUCAUUAUUCAUAAUAAUAAUAUCAAGUGCCUCUUAGUUCCAGGAACUGUUUCUCUUCAUUGCCCCCCUCUUUAAGUUAACAUGCAGGGAAAGAAAGAAAGAAAAGAAAAAGAAAAAGAUUUCUACCAGAUACGAAGCUACAGUGAGAAGGGUUCUGCCAGCAGCCACGUUCCUCAGCCCAACUCAUUAAUUCUGUGCCCCUGAGUCACAGCCGCCGGACAGAGCAGAAUCUCUCCCUGGAGGCAUUUCUAUGCCAGUGAGAAGGACAGUGGCACCAAACACGCAGAGUGCACAGUCACUGGUGAAGGUGACACUCACCAGAGGUUUGUGGCCUUUGCACCUGGAAGAUCAGAGCUUCUCUCUCUGAGAUGAGCUGACACAGCAUGCCAGGCAGAGACAGCCUCGGAAGUCUGGAGGUCCUGAGACUCCCCUGGAAGGAGGACACAGAAAUGAGGUGCACUCACCCUCCUGGGGCCAGGUUGCACGCACAAGCUGGAGACUCCAACCUCACGGAGCUGCCCCUCCAGUGGAAAGAGGCAGGAGCCACACCACCCACAGGUGGAUAAGUAAUCUCGGAUAGCGCCAGGGGCUGCAAUGGAAAUUAAAAUGGAAACAGGACCAGCAGCCAUGGGGCUGGGCAGCCCAGUGUUUUUAGGCAGAGGGGUGAGGAGGCAGCCUGGGGCUGAUGCCUGGAUCUGAAGAAGGAGUGAGCUGUGUGAGAUUUAGAGAGUCAUGCCAAGUGGAGGGAACAGCAGACUCAG